AUGAACGCUGGCGGCGUGCCUAAUACAUGCCAGUCGAGCGAACAGACGAGGAGCUUGCUCCUCUGACGUUAGCGGCGGACGGGUGAGUAACACGUGGAUAACCUACCUAUAAGACUGGGAUAACUUCGGGAAACCGGAGCUAAUACCGGAUAAUAUAUUGAACCGCAUGGUUCAAUAGUGAAAGACGGUUUUGCUGUCACUUAUAGAUGGAUCCGCGCCGCAUUAGCUAGUUGGUAAGGUAACGGCUUACCAAGGCAACGAUGCGUAGCCGACCUGAGAGGGUGAUCGGCCACACUGGAACUGAGACACGGUCCAGACUCCUACGGGAGGCAGCAGUAGGGAAUCUUCCGCAAUGGGCGAAAGCCUGACGGAGCAACGCCGCGUGAGUGACGAAGGUCUUCGGAUCGUAAAACUCUGUUAUUAGGGAAGAACAAAUGUGUAAGUAACUAUGCACGUCUUGACGGUACCUAAUCAGAAAGCCACGGCUAACUACGUG
This 496-nucleotide ribosomal RNA is filed under the name uncultured bacterium. RNAcentral describes it as "partial 16S ribosomal RNA". It matches the Rfam family "Bacterial small subunit ribosomal RNA", at positions 29 to 507 of the family's 1533-position model. The record is from RNAcentral.